Molecule: ribosomal RNA, 180 nt
Filed under: uncultured Glomeromycotina
Lineage: Eukaryota; Fungi; Glomeromycota
Description: partial small subunit ribosomal RNA
Rfam family: Eukaryotic small subunit ribosomal RNA (bases 36-180)
Source: RNAcentral
AGAUCAAAUUGUCGGUCGUGCCUCGGUACGUACUGUCAUUAUUGAUUUCUCCCUUCUGAAGAACCGCGAUGUCAUUAAUUUGGUGUCGUGGGGAAUCAGGACUGUUACUUUGAAAAAAUUAGAGUGUUUAAAGCAGGCUCGCGCUUGAAUACAUUAGCAUGGAAUAAUAAAAUAGGACUU